Molecule: ribosomal RNA, 778 nt
Filed under: uncultured bacterium
Lineage: Bacteria
Description: bacterial SSU rRNA
Rfam family: Bacterial small subunit ribosomal RNA
Source: RNAcentral
GAAUACGGAGGCGGAAUUUUUCGGAAGGAAGCCUUUGUGUUUUAGCGGCGGACGGGUGAGUAACGCGUGGAUAACCUGCCCCAUACCGGGGGAUAACAGUUAGAAAUGACUGCUAAUACCGCAUAAGCGCACGGAGCCGCAUGGCGCAAUGUGAAAAACUCCGGUGGUAUGGGAUGGAUCCGCGUCUGAUUAGCUAGUUGGCGGGGUAACGGCCCACCAAGGCAGCGAUCAGUAGCCGACCUGAGAGGGUGGCCGGCCACAUUGGGACUGAGACACGGCCCAAACUCCUACGGGAGGCAGCAGUGGGGAAUAUUGCACAAUGGGGGAAACCCUGAUGCAGCAACGCCGCGUGAGUGAAGAAGUAUUUCGGUAUGUAAAGCUCUAUCAGCAGGGAAGAAGAAAGACGGUACCUGACUAAGAAGCCCCGGCUAACUACGUGCCAGCAGCCGCGGUAAUACGUAGGGGGCGAGCGUUAUCCGGAUUUACUGGGUGUAAAGGGAGCGUAGACGGUUUUUCAAGUCUGAAGUGAAAGCCCGCGGCUCAACUGCGGAACGGCUUUGGAAACUGAGGGACUAGAGUGCUGGAGGGGCAGGCGGAAUUCCUGGUGUAGCGGUGAAAUGCGUAGAUAUCAGGAGGAACACCGGUGGCGAAGGCGGCCUGCUGGACAGUAACUGACGUUGAGGCUCGAAAGCGUGGGGAGCAAACAGGAUUAGAUACCCUGGUAGUCCACGCGGUAAACGAUGAAUGCUAGGUGUCGGUGAGCAAAGCUCAUCGGUGC